CUAGAGAACUCUCAGGAAACUUCCUCUCUUCCCACCAAAAAUAAUUAUAUAGUUAUCCUUGGGCGAUCUUGGAUCUUAAUUAGUACACUCACGUUCCCUGUGGAAAAUCGAUCCUCUGGAAUACUCCCGGGUGAAAGCUACAUCGGUAUCUGUGCGCUUGCGGAUUUUUCUGUUUGCGUUUAAAAUACCCAACACUCGACC
RNAcentral lists this long non-coding RNA (201 nucleotides) under Sorghum bicolor (sorghum). RNAcentral describes it as "long non-coding RNA (SBIC_LNC014145)". Lineage: Eukaryota; Viridiplantae; Streptophyta; Magnoliopsida; Poales; Poaceae. The record is from RNAcentral.